This 331-nucleotide unclassified non-coding RNA is filed under the name soil metagenome. RNAcentral describes it as "partial contains 5.8S ribosomal RNA, internal transcribed spacer 2, and large subunit ribosomal RNA". The stretch from base 1 to 120 matches the Rfam family "5.8S ribosomal RNA", at positions 35 to 154 of the family's 154-position model. The record is from RNAcentral.
GAUGAAGAACGCAGCGAAAUGCGAUAAGUAAUGUGAAUUGCAGAAUUCAGUGAAUCAUCGAAUCUUUGAACGCACAUUGCGCCCCCUGGUAUUCCGGGGGGCAUGCCUGUUCGAGCGUCAUUUCACCACUCAAGCCUCGCUUGGUAUUGGGCAACGCGGUCCGCCGCGUGCCUCAAAUCGACCGGCUGGGUCUUCUGUCCCCUAAGCGUUGUGGAAACUAUUCGCUAAAGGGUGUUCGGGAGGCUACGCCGUAAAACAACCCCAUUUCUAAGGUUGACCUCGGAUCAGGUAGAGAUACCCGCUGAACUUAAGCAUAUCAAUAAGCGGAGGA